Molecule: ribosomal RNA, 449 nt
Filed under: uncultured bacterium
Lineage: Bacteria
Description: partial 16S ribosomal RNA
Rfam family: Bacterial small subunit ribosomal RNA
Source: RNAcentral
CCUACGGGCGGCAGCAGUAAGGAAUAUUGGUCAAUGGACGCAAGUCUGAACCAGCCAUGCCGCGUGGAGGAUGAAGGUCCUCUGGAUUGUAAACUUCUUUUAUUUGGGAAGAAACUCCCGAUUUCCAUCGGGAUUGACGGUACCAGAUGAAUAAGCACCGGCUAACUCCGUGCCAGCCGCCGCGGUAAUACGGAGGGUGCAAGCGUAAUCGGUUUUCACUGGGUUUAGGGGGUCCGUAGAGUCGGUGGUGAAAUCUCCGGGCUUAACCCGGAAACUGCCAUUGAUACUAUUUGUCUUGAAUACUCUGGAGGUGAGCGGAAUAUGUCAUGUAGCGGUGAAAUGCUUAGAUAUGACAUAGAACACCCAUUGCGAAGGCAGCUCACUACGGAAAUAUUGACGCUGAGGCACGAAAGCGUGGGGAUCAAACAGGAUUAGAUACCCGAGUAGUC